UCUCUGCCCCGCCGCCGGCCGCCGCCGCCGCGGUCGCUCGCCCAGGCACCCAUCCCGCACUCGCGCCGCCGCCGUUGCCCCCUCUCCUCUUCCUUCCGCUCGGCCCGCGCCUCCCUGCCCCGCUGCCGUCCAGGGCCAGCCCCACACUGCUGCAUCCUCUUCCUUCCUCUCGUCCCCACAGCGACGGCAGCAAGGACGGCGCGCUGCGCCCGCCCCCUCCACUCCACCAGAGGUGCCCCUCUCCGCCCCCGUCCUACUCGCGCUCGAGGAUCCCCGGUCGCCCUCGGCCCCGGCGUCCUACCGCGUCCUGCUCGCCGUCCUCGCCUGCGUUGCCCUCGGUGCGCUUGUCUCCCUCUCCUCCUCGGUUCCCAGCGGGAGAAGCAUGAGGCGUUGAAGCUACUGCUGCUCAGCGGGAGAAGCAGCAGCCGAAAAUCGAUGACGCCGACCCCCUCCUCCACGGCAGCGCCUUCGUCCCCGACGACACCCAGCAGCAGCCCACUCCCGGCUGUUCUGAGCAUGUCAAGGCUGAAGUGUGCACUUCCGAGGUUUGAUUUAUGGGCCCUUUUGUUCCUGCUGAUUGGUGUGCCGAUUAUAAUCAUAUAUGUACAUGGCCAGAAGGUACUUAGAGAAGAUACUUAGAGAAGAGUGUGCAUCAAUAUGAAGUCUUGUCCUACUCUUCUAACGAAGGAUCAGAUCAAGAAACAUCUUAAUUUCUCAGCCUCCAUGGACACGGCCGAGAUCCUUGACCAUUGCUCAUCGGGACAUGUGCCAUCUAGCACCAAAAACCCUUGUUUAGCUGUUCAGUUGGUCCAGGAUCUGAGCGCAUCCGUCGCAUUCGCUGUUCGUCGUCCAGUCGGCCGUAGCCAUCCACAAUAAGAGCCACACAUACAAGGUUCUGAGCUUCUGAUAAAGAAGACCCACAAGUUUCAGAAAUAAGGUAGGAAAAAUCAAAGGUAAAACAUGCAGGCACAUGCCUUCGGCAAUCAGCCUUUUAAAGAGGUGUUCAUGAGUGUACAGCUGCACACAAGGAUUUGUGCCAUGUGGCACUAUCCAUUUACCAUUGAGUCCCUUCCUCCGUUUGGCAGGCAACCAGCCGAGCCUAUUCUCGCUGGUAUAAAUCAAAUGCUUGCUUGACACUGAAAUUAGACCAGUCAUCCACAGGACCAGUGAAGAAAGAAAAGUUAUUUCUUCUUUUCCAGACCAUUGGGAAGCUGUCUAGGUAUUCAGACUUAGCAAUAAAAGGAACACUCUGUAUGCAAACGGUGUUCCGCACUGUUUUACAAUCACAUCUAAUGACAGUUCCGAGCGACCGAAGAAUCACAAUAUCUACGAAAAGUCUUCCUCUCUAUCUCGAGCAGAUCCUGUUGUAGCCCCUAUUGUGCACUUGAUUAUGUGCCAUUUUCUACAGGCGCUUUGAUACACAUCCAGUUAAAAUGUUCAGGCGAUUGAUGACAGCACAGUACCUUAAAGGCCGGUAAAAGAAGUUUCUAAGAAGCGCGAACACUGUGAGAAGAGUAGAUCAUCGAUGCUUACAGCUGUGGGGCUCAUGGAGCCAGAAGAGGCUGUCGGUGUCGGCGACCUUGCCGUCUUUGUCCUGUCCAAAGGUCUCUGGACAAAUAGGUGCAAGGAGGGCUUUGUUUGGUGCAGCGCAAGACAAUAGCCAAUAGAUGUUUAAUCUGCCAGUUAAUAGAGUACUGAGCAUGUUGGUUUGUCUGUUGUAACCCACUUCAGAUGACGUAUAGAUUACUAAAAGUUUUUUAGUAUUUUAGUAUUUACCUUUCUUACAUAUAUAUACACGAUUUACUACAUUUAUGUAUAUCUUACCUUUCAACUCAUGGCCAAAUUCACUUGAUCAAUUUUCAGUAUCCAAUCUGAUGAAUGGUUUGGAGUUUGGCUGCAAAUAAACCUGAGACUAAGAGCAUUUGUAAAUAGCACCAAUGCAUAAGUAAAUAU
This is a long non-coding RNA of Triticum dicoccoides, 1953 nucleotides long. RefSeq lists it as uncharacterized. The transcript has 6 exons. NCBI's taxonomy places the organism in Eukaryota, Viridiplantae, Streptophyta, Magnoliopsida, Poales, Poaceae. The record is from RefSeq and is a predicted model, not a curated record.